AUUUUAAUUAUAUUUGAACUGUAUUUAUUUAUGAAUUUUUAUUACUACUGAAUUUGAACUAUUUAUGAAAUAUAAUUAUUAAUGAAUUUAAAUUAUUUAAAAAAUGUAAUUAUUAAUAAAUUUUAAUUGAUUAUGAACUUGAAUUAUUUAUGAACUUUAUUUAUUUAUGACUUGAUGUUUCUUCUCUCAGAAAUUCAUUUUUUAAAACUGAUGAUUUUAUUAUGUAUGAUAUUGUGCCAUUCCUUGAUAUAGAUUUUUCUGUAGUUUAUUCAACAUUCAAAUUACUAUUUUUUAAAAAUACUGCAGCAUCACUGCCCCUGGAUGUUUUACCAAAAAGCAUUGUUUGCCUUACUGAUGUUAAAUAUACAGUGCAUAUUUUUUAUUUCUGAAUAUUUCAUGUACAGUUUUUAAACUUGCCAUUCAAUGAUGUAUAUAUAUGUAUAUAUUUUACAGUUUAUUUCUAGUAUUUACAUACCUAUUAUUUGCGAAAUGUAUUAUCGCUUCAAUUCGCAUUCCGAAAAAAUGUAUUCCAAUUUGUUUUAUAUUGUAAUUUACAAUGGCAUAUCAGUAUACUACAAAAGUCUAAUUCAGAUGGCGAUAGGCCCUCAUUUGGGUAACUAAAAUCUAGAGACAGAUAUAUUUAAAUGGGUUUUUAAUCUAGAAACUUAUAAACAAAUGUUGGAACAGCGUGUUCUUUAUAGACAUUAGUGUGGACAGUGUUUAACAAGUGUUCCUAAGAGUUAAUCUAGUAAAAACAGUAUACAUAGCAGCAUGAUUAAAGACCAAGUCCAAAUAUAUUUGUCAGAACAAAACAUAUCAUUUCGUCUCUCCGAUAUUUGUAUUUGCUUGUCACUCAACUAGUCUCUGCCACUAAGAACAUAUAUAUUAAUUACAGAUACAGUUGUUCAUUUUGUAACACUUGUUGUUAAAAUUAUAUGUCAUUUUGAUUUCAGUGAUAUUUCAAAAUGUUGAAAAUGUUUUUUUAAAUUCAUGAUAUGGUGAUGUCUUUAAGCCAUUUUUUUUCCAAUGGGUGCUUCAUUUAUUGCUCUUUCAUGCAAAUUUUGAUAAAAUAAAAACUUGUUGAAAAUAU
Molecule: non-coding RNA, 1090 nt
Organism: Biomphalaria pfeifferi
Lineage: Eukaryota; Metazoa; Mollusca; Gastropoda; Planorbidae
Source: the annotation of a GenBank genome assembly